GAGAGUUUGAUCCUGGCUCAGAUUGAACGCUGGCGGCAGGCCUAACACAUGCAAGUCGAGCGGAUGAAGGGAGCUUGCUCCUGGAUUCAGCGGCGGACGGGUGAGUAAUGCCUAGGAAUCUGCCUGGUAGUGGGGGAUAACGUCCGGAAACGGGCGCUAAUACCGCAUACGUCCUGAGGGAGAAAGUGGGGGAUCUUCGGACCUCACGCUAUCAGAUGAGCCUAGGUCGGAUUAGCUAGUUGGUGGGGUAAAGGCCUACCAAGGCGACGAUCCGUAACUGGUCUGAGAGGAUGAUCAGUCACACUGGAACUGAGACACGGUCCAGACUCCUACGGGAGGCAGCAGUGGGGAAUAUUGGACAAUGGGCGAAAGCCUGAUCCAGCCAUGCCGCGUGUGUGAAGAAGGUCUUCGGAUUGUAAAGCACUUUAAGUUGGGAGGAAGGGCAGUAAGUUAAUACCUUGCUGUUUUGACGUUACCAACAGAAUAAGCACCGGCUAACUUCGUGCCAGCAGCCGCGGUAAUACGAAGGGUGCAAGCGUUAAUCGGAAUUACUGGGCGUAAAGCGCGCGUAGGUGGUUCAGCAAGUUGGAUGUGAAAUCCCCGGGCUCAACCUGGGAACUGCAUCCAAAACUACUGAGCUAGAGUACGGUAGAGGGUGGUGGAAUUUCCUGUGUAGCGGUGAAAUGCGUAGAUAUAGGAAGGAACACCAGUGGCGAAGGCGACCACCUGGACUGAUACUGACACUGAGGUGCGAAAGCGUGGGGAGCAAACAGGAUUAGAUACCCUGGUAGUCCACGCCGUAAACGAUGUCGACUAGCCGUUGGGAUCCUUGAGAUCUUAGUGGCGCAGCUAACGCGAUAAGUCGACCGCCUGGGGAGUACGGCCGCAAGGUUAAAACUCAAAGGAAUUGACGGC
RNAcentral lists this ribosomal RNA (915 nucleotides) under uncultured bacterium. RNAcentral's name for it is "bacterial SSU rRNA". It matches the Rfam family "Bacterial small subunit ribosomal RNA", at positions 8 to 917 of the family's 1533-position model. The record is from RNAcentral.